UGUGAAUCAAAGAGGCAUUUUCUGGAGACCCGGUACCCUUCCUUCGCUAUCGCUCGCGUUGUUGUGGUUGCCCGUUCUCCUCCUCCUCGUUUCCCUACUCAUUUCGAAGACACAACCGGAACAGAGUCGAGCGAGAGUGAGACAGCCAUGGCGAUUUGGAGCUCCCCUUGCCGCCCGAUUCAGUAGGCUGGUGGUACGGCGUCCGGCUGCCCCGCCCCCUCCGUCUGCCGCACCGGAGGAUUUUUUUUCUGCUAUUAGAAAGCCAUAUGUUAAGGAAAUCAACCUCGUCAUUGAGGUAUGUUCUUUCUUCCAGAUCUGUUCAGGCAGGAGAGAGACGAGAGACGACAGGAGCUGAUGAAUGCAUAGGAGGGGGUGUUUACCUGUGAUUUUUUUGCUUCUCCAACCAUGUUCGUGUCCUUGAUCAUGGAGGAAUCGCCCUCUCUGGUGGUGCUUCUCUGGGGUUAAAUUUAGUACUUUCUCAGUGGUAUUACAGUGUAAUUCUUCUGUGUGUUUUAAGUGGAAUUUACAGUGUACUUUUAGUGGAAUUAGAGUGCAUUUUCAGUGGGUUUACACUGUAAUUAUUAGUGGAAUUACAGUGGAAUUUACACUGUAAAUCUGUGGGUUUACAGUGUACUUUUAGUGGAUUUUUGCCCUGUAUUUGCAAGUGGCAUUUUUAGUGGAAUUAUAGUGUAUUUUUAGUGAAAUUACUGUGCA
This is a long non-coding RNA of Triticum aestivum (bread wheat), 714 nucleotides long. RefSeq lists it as uncharacterized. The record is from RefSeq and is a predicted model, not a curated record. Lineage: Eukaryota; Viridiplantae; Streptophyta; Magnoliopsida; Poales; Poaceae. The transcript has 3 exons.